GAUGAACGCUGGCGGCGUGCUUAACACAUGCAAGUCGAGCGAGUGAGUUCUUCGGAACGAUCUAGCGGCGGACGGGUGAGUAACACGUGGGCAACCUGCCUCAUAGAGGGGAAUAGCCUCCCGAAAGGGAGAUUAAUACCGCAUAAAAUUAUCGAGUGGCAUCACAUGAUAAUCAAAGGAGUAAUCCGCUAUGAGAUGGGCCCGCGGCGCAUUAGCUAGUUGGUGAGGUAACGGCUCACCAAGGCGACGAUGCGUAGCCGACCUGAGAGGGUGAUCGGCCACAUUGGGCCUGGGACACGGCCCGGACUCCGACGGGAGGCAGCAGUGGGGAAUAUUGCACAAUGGGGGAAACCCUGAUGCAGCAACGCCGCGUGAGUGAUGAAGGUCUUCGGAUUGUAAAGCUCUGUCUUUGGGGACGAUAAUGACGGUACCCAAGGAGGAAGCCACGGCUAACUACGUGCCAGCCGCCGCAGUAA
This 476-nucleotide ribosomal RNA is filed under the name uncultured bacterium. Its description in RNAcentral is "partial 16S ribosomal RNA". It matches the Rfam family "Bacterial small subunit ribosomal RNA", at positions 28 to 523 of the family's 1533-position model. The record is from RNAcentral.